RNAcentral lists this ribosomal RNA (118 nucleotides) under Dorea formicigenerans. RNAcentral also lists the same sequence under 2 other names. The record is from RNAcentral. Lineage: Bacteria; Bacillati; Bacillota; Clostridia; Lachnospirales; Lachnospiraceae.
ACUGGUGGCGAUGCGCUUGAGGGUAACACCCGUUCCCAUCCCGAACACGAUGGUUAAGACUCAAGCGGCCGAUGGUACUUCACUGGAGACGGUGCGGGAGAGUAGGUGGCCGCCAAAU